Molecule: ribosomal RNA, 330 nt
Filed under: uncultured eukaryote
Lineage: Eukaryota
Description: partial 18S ribosomal RNA
Rfam family: Eukaryotic small subunit ribosomal RNA
Source: RNAcentral
CCCUUAGAUGUUCUGGGCCGCACGCGCGCUACACUGAUGCAUUCAGCGAGUCCAUCCUUGCCCGAAAGGGCUGGGUAAUCUUUUGAAAUUGCAUCGUGAUGGGGCUUGCGGGUUGCAACUACCCGCACCAACGAGGAAUUCCUAGUAAACGCAAGUCAACAACUUGCAUUGAUUACGUCCCUGCCCUUUGUACACACCGCCCGUCGCUACUACCGAUUGAACGGUUUAGUGAGGGCCUCGGAUUGGUCUCGGCCCGCUCUUUACCGGGCGGCGCCGUUGGUCGAGAAGACGCUCGAACUUGAUCGUUUAGAGGAAGUAAAAGUCGUAACA